RNAcentral lists this ribosomal RNA (460 nucleotides) under uncultured bacterium. Its description in RNAcentral is "partial 16S ribosomal RNA". It matches the Rfam family "Bacterial small subunit ribosomal RNA", at positions 338 to 795 of the family's 1533-position model. The record is from RNAcentral.
CCUACGGGUGGCAGCAGUGAGGAAUCUUGGUCAAUGGGCGCGAGCCUGAACCAGCCAAGUAGCGUGAAGGAUGACUGCCCUACGGGUUGUAAACUUUUUUUAUAAAGAAAUAAAGUGAGGCACGUGUGCCUUUUUGUAUGUACUUUAUGAAUAAGGAUCGGCUAACUCCGUUCCAGCAGCCUCGGUAAUACGGAGGAUCCGAGCGUUAUCCGGAUUUAUUGGGUUUAAAGGGAGCGUAGGUGGGUUGUUAAGUCAGUUGUGAAAGUUUGCGGCUCAACCGUAAAAGUCCAAUUGAUACUGGCAGCCUUGAGUACAGUUGAGGUAGGCGGAAUUCGUGGUGUAGCGGUGAAAUGCUUAGAUAUCACGAAGAACUCCGAUGGCGAAGGCAGCUUACUAAACUGUCACUGACAUUGAUGCUCGAAAGUGUGGGUAUCAAACAGGAUUAGAUACCCCUGUAGUC